GACGAACGCUGGCGGCGUGCUUAACACAUGCAAGUCGAACGGAAAGGCCCUGCUUGCAGGGUGCUCGAGUGGCGAACGGGUGAGUAACACGUGGGUGAUCUGCCCCUUACUUUGGGAUAAGCCUGGGAAACUGGGUCUAAUACUGGAUAGGACCAUGCUGUAGGUGGUGUGGUGGAAAGAUUAGUUUCGGUAAGGGAUGAGCUCGCGGCCUAUCAGCUUGUUGGUGGGGUAAUGGCCUACCAAGGCGUCGACGGGUAGCCGGCCUGAGAGGGUGGACGGCCACAUUGGGACUGAGACACGGCCCAGACUCCUACGGGCGGCAGCAGUGGGGAAUAUUGCACAAUGGGCGCAAGCCUGAUGCAGCGACGCCGCGUGGGGGAUGACGGCCUUCGGGUUGUAAACUCCUUUCAGCCAUGACGAAGCCCUUGUGGUGACGGUAGUGGUAGAAGAAGCACCGGCUAACUACGUG
Molecule: ribosomal RNA, 469 nt
Filed under: uncultured bacterium
Lineage: Bacteria
Description: partial 16S ribosomal RNA
Rfam family: Bacterial small subunit ribosomal RNA
Source: RNAcentral